Molecule: ribosomal RNA, 722 nt
Filed under: uncultured bacterium
Lineage: Bacteria
Description: bacterial SSU rRNA
Rfam family: Bacterial small subunit ribosomal RNA
Source: RNAcentral
UCGAACGCCGAAGGCCCCUUCGGGGGCCGAGUAGAGUGGCGUCCGGGUGAGUAACACGUGAGUAAUUUGCCUUCGGGUGGGGAAUAACAACCGGAAACGGUUGCUAAUACCGCAUAAUGCAGCGGCACCACAUGGUGACAGUUGUUAAAGCGGGGGAUCGUAAGACCUCGCGUCUGAAGAGGAGCCUGCGGCAGAUUAGCUAGUUGGUAAGGUAACGGCUUACCAAGGCGAUGAUCUGUAGCCGGCCUGAGAGGGCGGUCGGCCACACUGACACUGACAUACGGGUCAGACUCCUACGGGAGGCAGCAGUCGGGAAUUUUGGGCAAUGGGCGAAAGCCUGACCCAGCAACGCCGCGUGAAGGAUGAAAUCCUUCGGGAUGUAAACUUCGCAAGAACGGGAAGAAUAAGUGAGAGUUAAUAUCUCUCGCGAUGACGGUACCGUUUGUAAGCUCCGGCUAACUCCGUGCCAGCAGCCGCGGUAAUACGGGGGGAGCAAGCGUUGUUCGGAUUUACUGGGCGUAAAGGGCGCGUAGGCGGCCACCGCAAGUCGACUGUGAAAUCUCCGGGCUUAACCCGGAAAGGUCAGCCGAUACUGCGGGGCUAGAGUGCAGAAGGGGCAACUGGAAUUCUCGGUGUAGCGGUGAAAUGCGUAGAUAUCGAGAGGAACACCUGCGGCGAAGGCGGGUUGCUGGGCUGACACUGACGCUGAGGCGCGAAAGCUA